ACGAACGCUGGCGGCAUGCCUAACCCCUGCAAGUCGCACGAGACCUUCGGGUCUAGUGGCGCACGGGUGCGUAACGCGUGGGAACCUGCCCUUAGGUUCGGAAUAACUCCCCGAAAGGGGUGCUAAUACCGGAUCAUGUCUUCGGACCACAGAUUUAUCGCCUUUGGAUGGGCCCGCGUUGGAUUAGCUAGUUGGUAGGGUAAAAGCCUACCAAGGCGACGAUCCAUAGCUGGUCUGAGAGGAUGAUCAGCCACACUGGGACUGAGACACGGCCCAGACUCCUACGGGAGGCAGCAGUGGGGAAUAUUGGACAAUGGGCGAAAGCCUGAUCCAGCAAUGCCGCGUGAGUGAUGAAGGCCUUAGGGUUGUAAAGCUCUUUUACCCGGGAUGAUAAUGACAGUACCGGGAGAAUAAGCUCCGGCUAACUCCGUG
This 432-nucleotide ribosomal RNA is filed under the name uncultured bacterium. Its description in RNAcentral is "partial 16S ribosomal RNA". It matches the Rfam family "Bacterial small subunit ribosomal RNA", at positions 29 to 507 of the family's 1533-position model. The record is from RNAcentral.